AGGGCGUAUGGAGGAUGCCUUGGCUCUUGAAGCCGAUGAAGGACGUGAUAGGCUGCGAUAAGCUACGGGGAGGUGCCGAAUAACCUGCAAUCCGUAGAUUUCCGAAUGGGGAAACCCGGUCCGUUGAAGACGGAUCAUCGAAAGAAGUAAACCCGGAGAACUGAAACAUCUAAGUACCCGGAGGAAUAUAAAACAAAUCAGUGAUUCCCUCAGUAGUGGCGAGCGAACGGGGAACAGCCCAAACUUCAAAGGUUACGGCCUUUGGAGGGUUGUAGGACUGCAACGUGGACUAUAGUUUUGAAGUGGAAAUUAUCUGGAAAGAUAAUAUCAUAGAGGGUGAUAAUCCCGUACACAAAUCAAAAUUAUUACCUAGCAGUAUCCUGAGUAGCACGGAACACGUGAAAUUCUGUGUGAAUCUGCCAGGACCAUCUGGCAAGGCUAAAUACUUACAAGAGACCGAUAGUGUACCAGUACCGUGAGGGAAAGGUGAAAAGAACCGCGAACAGCGGAGUGAAAUAGACCUGAAACCAUACGCCUACAAGCUAUAGGAGUUCAAGCUUAGUAGCAAUACUAAGCAGCGAAUGACUAUGUGCCUUUUGCAUAAUGAGCCUACGAGUUACUCCUCACUGGCAAGGUUAAGGACCAAAGGUCCGCAACCGUAGCGAAAGCGAGUCCUAACAGGGCGAAUAGUCAGUGGGGGUAGACGCGAAACCUUGUGAUCUAUCCAUGGUCAGGAUGAAGGACCGGUAACACGGUCUGGAGGUCCGAACUGAUAAGCGUUGAAAAGCUUCCGGAUGAACUGUGGAUAGGGGUGAAAGGCUAAUCAAACUAGGAAAUAGCUCGUACUCUCCGAAAUGUUUUGAGGAACAGCCUCGAGUGUAGUGUUAUAGAGGUAGAGCUACCGAUAGAGUCAGGGACCUUCACCGGUUACCGAGCUCUGACGAACUCCGAAUACUGUAACAUGAUCACCGGGAGUGAGCCCGCGGGUGCUAAGGUCCACGGGCGAGAGGGAAACAACCCAGACCAUCAGCUAAGGUCCCCAAAUGUAUGCUAAGUUGAUUUAAUGAAGUCCAAUGGCACUGACAGCCAGGAUGUUGGCUUGGAAGCAGCCAUUCAUUCAAAGAGUGCGUAACAGCUCACUGGUCGAGCCAUUGGGCGCAGACAAUAAACGGGCAUCAAGCAUACUACCGAAGCUAUGGAUUCUAUAAGCAAUUAUAGAGUGGUAGGAGAGCAUUCCAAUUACUGCGAAGGUGAAGCGUAAGCUUUGCUGGAGUAUCUGGAAAAGCAAAUGUAGGCAUAAGUAACGAUAAAUUCUGUGAAAAACAGAGUCGCCAAUAGUCUAAGGUUUCCUGAUCAACGCUAAUCGGAUCAGGGUUAGUCGGGUCCUAAGGUGUAUCCAAACGGAGAAGCCGAUGGCCAACUGGUUAAUAUUCCAGUACUAACGUAUACUGCUAUGGAGAGACGGAGAAGUGAAAGGUCUGCGCCGCAACGGAUGUUGGCGUUAAAGCCCGUAGAUAUAAGUGCUGUUGGCAAAUCCGCAGCGCUUGUCGAAGGUGAUAGUACUGAGAGGCUUCGGCUAAUCAGAUAAUGACCCUAAUCAGGCUCCCAAGAAAAUCUUCUAUGCUUCAGGUAUACGCUACCCGUACCGCAAACCGACACAGGUAGACAAGAAGAAUAUUCUAAGGCGCUCGAGUGACCCAUGGCUAAGGAACUAGGCAAAUUGACACUGUAACUUCGGGAGAAAGUGUCCCCUGAUUUAAUACUCAGGGGUUCAAUGAAAUGAUCCAGGCGACUGUUUAUCAAAAACACAGGGCUCUGCUAAAUCGAUCGAAAGAUGAUGUAUAGGGCCUGACACCUGCCCGGUGCCGGAAGGUUAAGGAGAGAAGUCAGGAGUAAUCCAAAGCUUUGAACCGAAGCCCCGGUAAACGGCGGCCGUAACUAUAACGGUCCUAAGGUAGCGAAAUUCCUUGUCGGGUAAGUUCCGACCUGCACGAAUGGUGUAACGAUCUGGGCACUGUCUCAGCCAUGAGCUCGGUGAAAUUGUAGUCUCGGUGAAGAUGCCGAGUACCCGCAACGGGACGGAAAGACCCCGUGCACCUUUACUGCAACUUUGUAUUGAUUUCGAAUAAAUGAUGCGUAGCAUAGGUGGGAGACUUUGAUGCCCUGAUUCUGGUUGGGGCUGAGUCACCAGUGAAAUACCACCCUUCGUUUAUUUGAGAUCUAACCCCUGCAAAACAGGGGGACAGUGCAUGGUGGGUAGUUUGACUGGGGUGGUCGCCUCCAAAAGAGUAUCGGAGGCUCCCAAAGGUGUGUUCAGUACGCUUGGUAACCGUACGUAGAGUGCAAUAGCAUAAACACGCUUGACUGUGAGGCCUACAAGCCGAGCAGGUACGAAAGUAGGGUAUAGUGAUCCGGUGGUUCCGCAUGGAAGGGCCAUCGCUCAUAGGAUAAAAGGUACGCCGGGGAUAACAGGCUGAUCCCUCCCAAGAGCUCAUAUCGACGGGGGGGUUUGGCACCUCGAUGUCGGCUCGUCACAUCCUGGGGCUGGAGAAGGUCCCAAGGGUUCGGCUGUUCGCCGAUUAAAGUGGCACGCGAGCUGGGUUCAGAACGUCGUGAGACAGUUCGGUCCCUAUCUGUUGUGGGCGUUAGAAAAUUGAGUGGACCUGACUCUAGUACGAGAGGACCGAGUCGGACGUACCGCUAGUGUACCAGUUGUCACGCCAGUGGCACCGCUGGGUAGCUAUGUACGGAUGAGAUAAGCGCUGAAAGCAUCUAAGUGCGAAACUCGCCUCAAGAUAAGAUUUCUUUAAAGGGUCGUAGAAGAUUACUACGUUGAUAGGUUGUAAGUGUAAAGACAGUAAUGUCAAAGCUGAGCAAUACUAAUUACCCGUUAGCUUUUUUAC
Molecule: ribosomal RNA, 2903 nt
Filed under: soil metagenome
Description: bacterial LSU rRNA
Rfam family: Bacterial large subunit ribosomal RNA
Source: RNAcentral